CCCGCCUUAGCUCAGUUGGUAGUAGCAGCAGACUGUCGUGGCGCCUGAAUCCAGCAGAAUCGCCGGCAUCAGCAGGCAUCUGUAGGUCCCCGGUUCCCCCGUUCAAAUCCGGGAGGCCGGA
Quaeritorhiza haematococci is the source of this 121-nucleotide non-coding RNA. Lineage: Eukaryota; Fungi; Chytridiomycota; Chytridiomycetes; Quaeritorhizaceae. The record is from the annotation of a GenBank genome assembly.